Molecule: ribosomal RNA, 1341 nt
Filed under: metagenome
Description: bacterial LSU rRNA
Rfam family: Bacterial large subunit ribosomal RNA
Source: RNAcentral
UGAGUACGAGACGCUAAGGCGUCGAAGUAGUGGAUGUCAUACUUCCAAGAAAAGCUUGCACUGUCAUAAAUAGAAAAUGCCUGUACCAUAACCGACACAGGUGGGUAAGUAGAGUAUACUAAGGGGCGCGAGAUAACUCUCUCUAAGGAACUCGGCAAAAUAACUCCGUAACUUCGGGAGAAGGAGUGCCUUAUUCUUAAGGUUGCAAUAACAAGAUCCAAGCAACUGUUUAUCAAAAACACAGGUCUCCGCUAAGUCGUAAGACGAUGUAUGGGGGCUGACGCCUGCCCAGUGCCAGAAGGUUAAAGAAGUCGGUUAGCAAUAGCAAAGCUGGUAACUGAAGCCCUGGUGAACGGCGGCCGUAACAAUAACGGUCCUAAGGUAGCGAAAUUCUUGUCGGGUAAGUUCCGACCCGCACGAAAGGCGUAAUGAUUUGGAUGCUGUCUCGGAGAGGGGCUCGGUGAAAUAGACUUGUCUGUGAAGAUGCGGACCACCUGCACCAGGACAGAAAGACCCUAUGAAGCUUUACUGUAACUUGAAAUUGAAAUUGGACUUUAUUCGCGCAGUAUAGGUGGGAGGCGUUGAUUAUAAUCUUGUGGGAUUAUUGGAGCCAUCAGUGAGAUACCACUCUUGUAAUGUUAGAUUUCUAACUUUGAAUCAUUAUCUGGUCAAAGGACAGUUUCAGGCGGGCAGUUUGACUGGGGCGGUCGCCUCCUAAACGGUAACGGAGGCGUACAAAGGUUUCCUCUGAACGGUUAGAAAUCGUAUCUAGAGUGUAAAGGCAUAAGGAAGCUUGACUGUGAGACCUACAAGUCGAGCAGGGACGAAAGUCGGUCUUAGUGAUCUGACGGUACUGAGUGGAAAGGCCGUCACUCAACGGAUAAAAGUUACUCUAGGAUAACAGGCUGAUCUCCCCCAAGAGUUCACAUCGACGGGGAGGUUUGGCACCUCGAUGUCGGCUCAUCGCAUCCUGGGGCGGUAGUACGUCCCAAGGGUUGGGCUGUUCGCCCAUGAAAGCGGUACGCGAGCUGGGUUCAGAACGUCGUGAGACAGUUCGGUCCAUAUCCGGUGUAGGCGCUAGAAUAUUGAGAGGAGCCUUCUUUAGUACGAGAGGACCGAGAAGGACAUACCUCUGGUGUACCAGUUAUCGUGCCAACGGUAAACGCUGGGUAGCUAUGUAUGGAGUGGAUAACCGCUGAAAGCAUCUAAGUGGGAAGCCCACCUCAAGAUAAGUAUUCUCAUCACGUAAGCGAGUAAGGUCACGGUAAGACUAACCGUUUGAUAGGCAUUAAGUGUAAGUACAGUAAUGUAUGUGCUGAGAUGUCCUAAUAGACCGAGGAC